CGCGCUACAAUGGCCGGUACAAUGCGAAGCGAAGCAGUGACGUGAAGCAAAUCGCACCAAAGCCGGUCCCAGUUCGGAUAAGAGGCUGAAACUCGCCUCUUUGAAGUCGGAAUCGCUAGUAAUCGCAGAUCAGCAUGUUGCGGUGAAUACGUUCCCGGGUCUUGUACACACCGCCCGUCAAACCAUGAGAGUCACCAACACCCGAAGUCCGCUUUGGCGGCCUAAGGGUGGGGGAGAUGAUUGGGGUUAAGUCGUAACAAGGUACC
Molecule: ribosomal RNA, 266 nt
Filed under: uncultured bacterium
Lineage: Bacteria
Description: partial 16S ribosomal RNA
Rfam family: Bacterial small subunit ribosomal RNA
Source: RNAcentral